GGGAGAAAGGGAAUGGGCGGCAGCGGAGACUGGUGCUAGAAUUCGAAUUCCGACGACUUUCGAUUUCAACGUCAUUUGGUUUCGGCUCCUUCAGUGCAAUGAAGGUCGAGUUCUAGGGCUUUCUCCCGUUCAGCUUCGUCACUUUCUUUAUCGUAAUUUCUUGGAAAGGAGCGACGAGUAAACUGUACAUUCAAAUAUGGCUUGCCUUUGGCUACAUAGGACAAUGAUUAUGGCUGUAAAAGAAGAAGUCACAGUUGAAAUUCCUGACAUAUGAAGUCGAGAAAGCUGUAAUCACAGAUCAUCUCAUCGACAAGAUUGCGGCCCCCAUUCACAAGCCAAAUGAGAUUCCCAUUUUUGCCAGGUGGAAUCUUGUUAACAAACACAAUUAUUUUCACUUUGCCUGUCAAUAUGCCACUGAUCAAUAGCUUGCAAUUAUAUUUCCAUGGCCAAUCAUUGAUAUCCUCUUUGCCACUUUUUUAUGCCUCCUAAAAUAUAAGCAAUAUUCUAUUGUAUUCA
Cucurbita maxima (winter squash) is the source of this 516-nucleotide long non-coding RNA. RefSeq lists it as uncharacterized. NCBI's taxonomy places the organism in Eukaryota, Viridiplantae, Streptophyta, Magnoliopsida, Cucurbitales, Cucurbitaceae. The record is from RefSeq and is a predicted model, not a curated record. The transcript has 2 exons.